RNAcentral lists this ribosomal RNA (253 nucleotides) under uncultured bacterium. Its description in RNAcentral is "partial 16S ribosomal RNA". It matches the Rfam family "Bacterial small subunit ribosomal RNA", at positions 524 to 776 of the family's 1533-position model. The record is from RNAcentral.
UACAGAGGUCCCGAGCGUUGUUCGGAUUCACUGGGCGUAAAGGGUGCGUAGGUGGUGGGGUAAGUCUGGUGUGAAAGCUCGCAGCUCAACUGCGAAACGGCACUGGAAACUACUCUGCUGGAGGGUUGGAGGGGGGACUGGAAUACUUGGUGUAGCAGUGAAAUGCGUAGAUAUCAAGUGGAACACCAGUGGCGAAGGCGAGUCCCUGGACAACUCCUGACACUGAGGCACGAAAGCCAGGGGAGCAAACAGG